RNAcentral lists this ribosomal RNA (253 nucleotides) under uncultured bacterium. Its description in RNAcentral is "partial 16S ribosomal RNA". It matches the Rfam family "Bacterial small subunit ribosomal RNA", at positions 524 to 776 of the family's 1533-position model. The record is from RNAcentral.
UACGUAGGGAGCAAGCGUUGUCCGGAGUUAUUUGGCGUAAAGCGCUCGUAGGCGGUUCCGUAAGUCGGGUGUGAAAAAUCUGGGCUCAACCCAGUGGAGCACCCGAUACUGCGGUGACUCGAGUCCGGUAGGGGAGUGUGGAAUUUCUGGUGUAGCGGUGAAAUGCGCAGAUAUCAGGAGGAACACCGACGGCGAAGGCAGCACUCUGGGGCGGUACUGACGCUGAGGAGCGAAAGCGUGGGGAGCAAACAGG